RNA transcript from Cebus imitator (Panamanian white-faced capuchin), 1010 nucleotides. It is a transcript of the gene named 2-iminobutanoate/2-iminopropanoate deaminase-like, with no coding region annotated. NCBI's taxonomy places the organism in Eukaryota, Metazoa, Chordata, Mammalia, Primates, Cebidae. The record is from RefSeq and is a predicted model, not a curated record. The transcript has 2 exons.
AUGGAAGGGGCCCUGGGCAGGAAGGGGAGCCGGCUGUCGAGGAGAGAGCCCAGUGGUCAAUCAAGAAAGGGCCGCAGGAGGAAAGUCUUAGCCAAGUCGUCCUUGAUCAGAAGGGUGAUCAGCACCGCGAAAGCCCCAGGUGCCAUUGGACCCUGCAGCCAAGUUGUGUUAGCCGACAGGACCGUUUACAUUUCAGGACGGAUAGGCAUGGACCCUUCAGCUUGUGUCAGGAGGGGUGGCAGAAGAAGCUAAACAAGCUCUUAAAAACAUGAGUGAAAUUCUGAAAGCUGCAAGCUGCGACUUCACUCAUGUGGUGAAAACAGCUGUUCUUCUGGCUGACAUAAAUGACUUCAAUACUGUCAAUGAAAUCUACAAACAGUAUUUGAAGAGUAAUUUUCCUGCUAGAGCUGCUUACCAAGUUGCUGCUUUGCCCAAAGGUGCCCGAAUUGAAAUUGAAGCAGUAGCUGUCCAAGGACCUCUGACAACAGCAUCACUAUAAGUGGGCGCAGUGCUGUGUAGUCUGGAAUUUUUAACAUUUUAACUUUUACAAUUGAUAUAACAUCUUAAUUAACAUUUUAAUUUUCACAAUAUUGAUGACAGUGUGAAUUUGAUGAAUAUCUGAUGUUAUUAUGGAUAUACCAUAUAAUAGGGAGAGUUGAACAUGAACUGAAGAUUAAAGAAUCCAGUUACUGUUUUAAAUUACAUCUGUGUGCACCUGUAUUCCUGAAUACAGGAAAGAGACACUUAUUACGUACUUAAUAAAUAAAAGAGAAAUAACAGGCAGGAAAGAAGACUUAUUAUUCCUGAGAAAUAAUCAAGAACAUAUCUAAUUCAAACUAAUGAUGUGAACGAUUUAAUUCUCAUGUCAGGUAUGUGAUUCUGCUUUUUCUGAGUAAAAUUAAAGUGUUUAUAUUUGAGGUCAAGGAGAAGAAAGUGGACCAAAAUGUUAUAUAGAUAAUAUUUUUCUAACGGAAAUAAAAUAGAUAUGCAGAUUUCAAAAAAAAAAAAAA